CCGGGUUUGGGGCCAGGCUGUGGCCUGGGAGUGAAGCCCGGGCCCUGGGGGAAGCUGGGCUGUGGGUGCAGGGCCAGCCCUUGGGUGCUGCGAGUCCUGGUGCCCCAGCGGCCUCUCCUCUCCUCCCCCCAAGUGCUGGUGGCCGAGGUGGUGAAGUUCUUCUUCCCUGCCAUGGUGCAGCUGCACAGCUUCGUGCCCGCCAGCUCCACGCCGCAGAAGUUGGCCAACUGGGGCCACCUCAACAGGUACCGGAUGGACAGCACUGCCGGAGCGGAGCUGGGCAGCAGCGGGCGGUGGGCAGCGGGAAGCCUGCCUCUGUGCCCUCUGGGAUGCAGAUCUGGAUCAUUUUCUAGGAAGGUUUUGAGCAAGCUGAACUUCUCCGUCCCCAGCGAGGUGAUCCGGCAGAUCGUGCAGUGCCGGCCAGGUGUGGUAGAGCAGGUGCUGCUGCUGCUGCGGCAGAAGAUCGAGGAGAAGCAGAAGCAGGUCAAGGCAGUGCCUGGCCCGGGGCAGGUCAGCAGGGCAGAGCUGGGGCAGGAUCCUGUGGGGAGCGGGGCUGGCAAGACUCAGCGCUGCAGAUGGCAGCCAAGCGUUGCUAUGGGAACUAUCAUGUCCCCGUUCACUCUGCAGCCAUGAACUGGCCUGGGCAGGCCUGAAGGCAAUGCCGUUAGCUGGGGUGGGGGAGGGCAAAGGGGUGCUGACUCCAUCAUUUUCCUUACUGUGAUACUCCUCAAGGGGAGCGGAAAAGGCAGCUGGGUUGGGUGCACAGCUCCAGGACAGCCUCCUCCCCUGCCCCAACCAAACCCUCAGCCCAAGAGGAUCCCGGUCCCUGCAGUGUGAGAUGAGGACACCGACCACGCAGGCUUGGAGCAGGCUGGGCUGUCUGCCCCAGCACUGGGGUCAGAGCAGGAAUUCACCACGGGGAGGGCUGUGGCCGUGCAGGAAUUCAGGCAGAUUGAUCCCAGCCCUGCCUCUGGGCGGUAACCAGCACCGUGCUGCGCUGGGAACCCCCUGCUCUGAGCCACCACCGUGGGAACAAAGCUCCCACACCCCACUGGCUCCCCGCUCUGCUCCAGGAGGGCUGCGCUCCCCUGUUCUCCCUCCUCCAGCAUCAGGGCUGCCUCCCUGCACAGGGGCUGCUUGCAGGUUCACCCAGGGAGCGAGGAGCCAGGCGCGAUGCGAGUUCUCCUCUCUGCAGGAGCUGGGCCUGCAGGCAGCACAGGAGAUCAGCUACCUGGAGACGGGCAAGGCCGGCUGCUGGAAGGCGAGGAGCACAGGAGGGGGCUGCGCGCAGGAGGCCCCCACGGCGGUUGGGGGGAACGAGAGCCACCAGCGCUGUGCCCCGGCCGCAGGGGGUGACGCUGCUGCCAUCCGCCUGCAGCUGGCAGAGAGGGAGCAGGCGCUGCUCCUGGCGCAGGAGACGAUCCAGAUCCUACAGAUGAAGGUGCGAAGGCUGGAGCAGCUGCUGCGCCUCAAGGACAUGAGGAUCGACGACCUGAGCCGCUGCCUGCAGCAAGCCCGGCCCCAGCAGCAGUGAGCGCAGGCUUGCUCAGCCACCAUCCUGACGUGGAGCUGCGUGUUCGGCGCCUCCCGGCCGCCCCGCUCCGUGUCAGCCCCGCCGUGAGGAGCACAGGGCGGCACGGGGCCCUGCAGGAGCUGCUCCGUAAUCCCCUCCCCAAGCUGUUGUUUAUGAGCUCGGAGGAAAUCCCAGCCCGCGUGCCGUGGCUCUGGCGGCGAAACACGCGGCCCUGUGUGCUGAACAGCCUUUACCCCGCCUGGUGUCACCGUGUGGGGGCUGUGGAGGCAGCGGGGCCUUUCUUUUCAUCUCCUUUCCUUUUAUUUUCUUUGGGGGCAAAGCACGGAGGCGUUCUGCACGUCGCUGCGUGCAUUGCAGCCCCCGCGGCCUCCCUGCAGCGCUCGGGGCUGGAGCCUCACGGCCUCGUGCCCCCCUCCACGCCUCUCCAUCUCCUCCGUGCCCCUCCGUGCCUCCUGUGCCCCCCAUCCCCUCCGUGCCCCUCUGUCCACUCCGUGCUCCUCCAUCCCCUCCAUGCCCUUCAUGCCCCUUUUUCCCCUCCAUGCUCCUCUGUGCCCCUCAUGCCCUCUGUGCCUUCCAUGCCCCCCAUGC
RNAcentral lists this long non-coding RNA (2122 nucleotides) under Chrysolophus pictus (golden pheasant). Its description in RNAcentral is "lncRNA (ENSCPIG00010010670.1)". The record is from RNAcentral. Lineage: Eukaryota; Metazoa; Chordata; Aves; Galliformes; Phasianidae.